ACAAGACGAAAAGCCGGAUGUAUCUAUAUACCGUCCGUGCAUUGGCUGACGCGGAGGUAUGCUACCGACUCGGCUGCGUGGACGCGGGCACGAAGAAAGGAGCGCCGACUGACCAACGAUACUUUGACUGCGCAUGUGUGCCACUCAAGUGCAACAGUUCACGAGGCAUCCCAGGCCCCGAAAGAAGUUGGAAGAAGAUGCAAGCGCAGCAUGCCAAUGUUGUUGAAUAUUGCAGCACGAAGUUUCCAGGCGCAAGUGUUUCUUAUAUAAAAGAAAGCCUAUUCUCUCCCCUCACAAGGGAAAUAAAAUCACUAUAUAAAAAUGCCUUUUCAUGUGCCUUUUUUUGCUUUCCUGUUGGCUGCAGUUAAUAUUCAGCCUCAGUGAGCCAAAUCUUGCUACUUUAGACCUUAGUGAGAUAUAUCCCAGUACAAUGAAAAUACAAUGAAAAUUCAUCUCGAUCUAAAUCCAAUGAAUAUACAAUAACGAACCAAUGGAAAAACAACACAAUAAUACUACAACAGAUUUUCAAUGGAUUCACGGUGGCCACUUUUCCAUGACUACUCAACAAAUCUACAAUGAAAUACCAAUAAAAAUUCCACAAUUUUUUUGUUGAUGGUGGCACGAAAUAUCAAUGGAAAACCAAUGGAAUUCCAACAACAUUUUUUG
Molecule: long non-coding RNA, 666 nt
Organism: Dermacentor silvarum
Lineage: Eukaryota; Metazoa; Arthropoda; Arachnida; Ixodida; Ixodidae
Exons: 3
Source: RefSeq, a predicted model, not a curated record